This 1333-nucleotide ribosomal RNA is filed under the name uncultured bacterium. RNAcentral's name for it is "bacterial SSU rRNA". It matches the Rfam family "Bacterial small subunit ribosomal RNA", at positions 1 to 1357 of the family's 1533-position model. The record is from RNAcentral.
CUUAAGUUGAUCUGGCUCAGGAUAACGCGAGCGGCGUGCCUAAUACAUGCAAGUCGAGCGGUAAGGCUUAGCACUUAUUAUUUGACCUCAGAAGGUCGAGUAAUGGGUGCUGAGUACACGAGCGGCGGACGGCUGAGUAACGCGUAGGAACGUACCCCAAAGUGAGGGAUAAGCACCAGAAAUGGUGUCUAAUACCGCAUGUGGUCUAAGGAUUAAAGCUUCGGCGCUUUGGGAACGGCCUGCGUAUGAUUAGUUUGUUGGUGAGGUAAUGGCUCACCAAGGCUACGAUCAUUAGCUGGUCUGAGAGGAUGAUCAGCCAGACUGGGACUGAGAACGGCCCAGACUCCUACGGGAGGCAGCAGUAGGGAAUUUUCCACAAUGGGGGCAACCCUGAUGGAGCAACGCCGCGUGCAGGAUGAAUGCCUUCGGGUUGUAAACUGCUUUUAUCUGUGACGAUUAUGACGGUAACAGAUGAAUAAGGAUCGGCUAAUUCCGUGCCAGCAGCCGCGGUCAUACGGAAGAUCCAAGCGUUAUCCGGAAUUACUGGGCGUAAAGAGUUGCGUAGGUGGCAUAGUAAGCAGAUAGUGAAAUUGUGUGGCUCAACCAUACACCCAUUAUCUGAACUGCUAAGCUAGAGGGCGAGAGAGGUAGCUGGAAUUCCUAGUGUAGGAGUGAAAUCCGUAGAUAUUAGGAGGAACACCGAUGGCGUAGGCAGGCUACUGGCUCGUCCCUGACACUAAGGCACGAAAGCGUGGGGAGCGACCGGGAUUAGAUACCCCGUUAGACCACGCCGUAAACGAUGGAUGCUAGCUGUUAUGCGUAUCGACCCGCGUAGUAGCGAAGCUAACGCGUUAAGCAUCCCGCCUGUGGAGUACGAGCGCAAGCUUAAAACAUAAAGGAAUUGACGGGGACCCGCACAAGCGGUGGAGCGUGUUCUUUAAUUCGAUGGUAAGCGAAGAACCUUACCCAGGUUUGACAUCCUACUAAUUUCUCCGAAAGGAGAGAGUGCAUUCGGGCCGUAGUGACAGGUGAUGCAUGGCCGUCUUCAGCUCGUGUCGUGAGAUGUUUGGUUAAGUCCAUCAACGAGCGCAACCCUUAUACUUAGUUGGAUUUUUCUAAGUAGACUGCCCCGGUAACGGGGAGGAAGGAGGGGAUGAUGUCAGGUCAGUAUUUCCCUUACAUCUGGGGCUAGAAACACGCUACAAUGGCCGGUACAAAGGGCAGCCAAGUCGCGAGACGGAGCAAAUCCCAUCAAAGCCGGUCUCAGUUCGGAUAGCAGGCUGAAACUCGCCUGCUUGAAGCCGGAAUCGCUAGUAACGGUAGGUCAGCACAC